This 233-nucleotide long non-coding RNA is filed under the name Malus domestica (apple). Its description in RNAcentral is "long non-coding RNA (MDOM_LNC000282)". Lineage: Eukaryota; Viridiplantae; Streptophyta; Magnoliopsida; Rosales; Rosaceae. The record is from RNAcentral.
AUAAAUGAAAGCCCAAAGCCCAAACAACACAAAUAGGGCCGGCCAUAUUAUGUGGGGAAGGAGAGAUAUUUGGUCAAGUGUUGACUAGGUUUUCUUUUGUCUAUAUAAGGAACUUUAUAGUGAUAAAGUUCAUUAGGGUUUUUUGAAGUGUUUAAACAACAAAGAGGCAAAAGAAAAAGCUCUCUAACACAUCAAAGGGCCGGCCACCAUUGGGGUGUUUUAGCUAACAAUCU